Molecule: ribosomal RNA, 440 nt
Filed under: uncultured bacterium
Lineage: Bacteria
Description: partial 16S ribosomal RNA
Rfam family: Bacterial small subunit ribosomal RNA
Source: RNAcentral
CCUACGGGAGGCAGCAGUGGGGAAUAUUGCACAAUGGGGGAAACCCUGAUGCAGCGACGCCGCGUGAGUGAAGGAGUAUUUCGGUAUUUAAAGCUCUAUCAGCAGGGAAGAUAAUGACGGUACCUGACUAAGAAGCGCCGGCUAACUACGUGCCAGCAGCCGCGGUAAUACGUAGGGGGCAAGCGUUAUCCGGAUUUACUGGGUGUAAAGGAUGCGUAGGUGGCAGGUCAAGUCAGAUGUGAAAGGCCCGGGCUCAACCCCGGUACUGCAGUUGAAACUGUCAGACUGGAGUGCAGGAGAGGUAAGCGGAAUUCCUAGUGUAGCGGUGAAAUGCGUAGAUAUUAGGAGGAACACCAGUGGCGAAGGCGGCUUACUGGACUGUAACUGACACUGAGGCACGAAAGCGUGGGGAGCAAACAGGAUUAGAUACCCGGGUAGUC